CAAGGUUUCCGUAGGUGAACCUGCGGAAGGAUCAUUACAGAGUUCAUGCCCGAAAGGGUAGACCUCCCACCCUUGUGUAUUAUUACUUUGUUGCUUUGGCGAGCUGCUCUUCGGGGCCUUGUAUGCUCGCCAGAGAAUAUCAAAACUCUUUUUAUUAAUGUCGUCUGAGUACUAUAUAAUAGUUAAAACUUUCAACAACGGAUCUCUUGGUUCUGGCAUCGAUGAAGAACGCAGCGAAAUGCGAUAAGUAAUGUGAAUUGCAGAAUUCAGUGAAUCAUCGAAUCUUUGAACGCACAUUGCGCCCCUUGGUAUUCCGGGGGGCAUGCCUGUUCGAGCGUCAUUUCAACCCUCAAGCUCAGCUUGGUAUUGAGUCCAUGUCAGUAAUGGCAGGCUCUAAAAUCAGUGGCGGCGCGCUGGGUCCUGAACGUAGUAAUAUCUCUCGUUACAGGUUCUCGGUGUGCUUCUGCCAAAACCCAAAUUUUCUAUGGUUGACCUCGGAUCAGGUAGGGAUACCCGCUGAACUUAAGCAU
RNAcentral lists this ribosomal RNA (530 nucleotides) under Sclerotinia sclerotiorum. RNAcentral's name for it is "eukaryotic LSU rRNA". The stretch from base 187 to 340 matches the Rfam family "5.8S ribosomal RNA". Lineage: Eukaryota; Fungi; Ascomycota; Leotiomycetes; Helotiales; Sclerotiniaceae. The record is from RNAcentral.